GUGGGGAAUCUUGCGCAAUGGGCGAAAGCCUGACGCAGCCAUGCCGCGUGAAUGAUGAAGGUCUUAGGAUUGUAAAAUUCCUUCACCGGGGACGAUAAUGACGGUACCCGGAGAAGAAGCUCCGGCUAACUACGUGCCAGCAGCCGCGGUAAUACGUAGGGAGCAAGCGUUGUCCGGAUUUAUUGGGCGUAAAGAGCUCGUAGGCGGUUUCGUAAGUCGAGUGUGAAAAAUCUGGGCUUAACCCAGUGGAGCACUCGAUACUGCGAUGACUUGAGUCUGGUAGAGGAGUGUGGAAUUCCUGGUGUAGCGGUGAAAUGCGCAGAUAUCAGGAGGAACACCAACGGCGAAGGCAGCACUCUGGGCCAGUACUGACGCUGAGGAGCGAAAGCGUGGGGAGCAAACAGGAUUAGAAACCCUUGUAGUCC
This 425-nucleotide ribosomal RNA is filed under the name uncultured bacterium. Its description in RNAcentral is "partial 16S ribosomal RNA". It matches the Rfam family "Bacterial small subunit ribosomal RNA", at positions 354 to 796 of the family's 1533-position model. The record is from RNAcentral.